This is a long non-coding RNA of Orbicella faveolata, 412 nucleotides long. Lineage: Eukaryota; Metazoa; Cnidaria; Anthozoa; Scleractinia; Merulinidae. The record is from RefSeq and is a predicted model, not a curated record.
UUCUUUUCAUUAACUCAUUGUGUUUGUUCUUAUUUUUAUAUUCCACAUUGUUUGGCCAGUCAAAUCAACAGUGGGUUUCUAAAGAGUGGGGUGCUGAACAAAUGGGGGCUCCUACUGUACCUCCCGCCAUUGGUGCCAGUGAAGACUGGGGUUCAUCUCGAGACUGGAGUACUGAAGCUGCUGCUCCUGCCGCAAAAGAUUGGGCAGAGACCAAGGAUUGGGCUGACCCUGCACCCAAAGAAUGGGGAGCUGAUGACCUACAGCCUAGCGGAGAUUGGGGAACCUCAGUCACCAUGCAGGAUGGAAAGAGUGCUGGAGCAGAGUGGGCCUAAACUGUGACCCUUUGUGCAUUGAUGCUGAAUGUACUGCCUUGUCAGAAAGAGACUUAAUAAAAACUCCCACUUUGUCUGAA